CACCCCUGGUCCCUGCCCCGUGCCCCUGACGCCGGUCACCGGCUGGGUGCCCCGUUCCCGCCGGCUCCCGCGGCCCCACCAUGCCGUCCAACAAAUCCGUCUCGGACGCGCCCAUCGUCCAGUUCACCAACUGCCGCAUCCUGAGGAGCCACCAGCUCCAGAGGGAGGACCUGUGGGUGCGAGACGGGAAGAUCCUCAACCCGGAGAAACUCUUCUUUGAUGAGAAGGGCUCUGCUGACAUCCAGCUGGACUGCAAGGACAGCAUCAUCACCCCGGGCUUCAUCGACGUCCAGAUCAAUGGAGGCUUUGGGGUGGACUUUUCCCUGGCUACAGAUGACUUCAAAUCAGGGAUUGACCUGGUCAGUCAGAAAAUCCUGUCCCAUGGAGUGACCUCCUUCUGUCCCACCCUGGUGACCUCUCCUCCAUCUGUAUACCACCAGGUUCUCCCUCAGAUCAGUAUAAGAAAUGGUGGAGUCCACGGAGCAGGUAUCCUGGGGGCCCAUCUGGAAGGACCGUUCAUCAGCAAGGAGAAGAAAGGGGCGCACCCAGAGCACUGCCUCCGCACCUUCGAGGCAGGUGCUUUCCAGGACCUUCUUGCCACCUACGGGUCCCUGGACUGUGUCCGGAUAGUCACCCUGGCCCCAGAGAUGAAGAGGAGCAGUGAGGUGAUCCAGGAACUCACCAAGCGGGGCAUCUGUGUCUCACUCGGUCACUCGGUGGCUAAUCUCUCCCAGGCUGAGGAGGCUGUGCAGCACGGUGCUACCUUCAUCACUCACCUAUUCAAUGCCAUGUUGCCGUUCCACCACCGUGACCCUGGGAUCGUGGGGCUGCUGACAAGUGACAAGAUUCCUGCUGGGCGGAGGGUCUUUUACGGCAUGAUCUCUGACGGCAUCCACACCAACCCUGCUGCCCUGCGAAUCGCCCACCGAGCCCACCCCAAAGGCCUGGUGCUGGUGACAGAUGCAAUUGCUGGCAUGGGGCUGGCACCAGGUCGGCACACGCUGGGUCAGCAGGUGGUGGAGAUCGAUGGGCUGAACACCUACAUUGCAGGCACAAAGACCCUGAGCGGUAGUGUGGCGACCAUGGACACGUGUGUGCGACACUUCCAAGAAGCCACAGGUAAGUAAGCCUUGUCCACAAGCUGUUGCUCCCUAUGUUGACACGGGAAGAGGUCUCGCUCUUGCCAGCUGUGUCCACUCCACCAGGGACCGUUCCCUCUCGCCUGAGACAUGAUGAGAAGCGCUGGCAUCAGUGGCACUGGCCUCAGAUGAGCACCUUUUUGAGGGGAGGUUUCAUUUUAACCCACAGCACUAAUGAGAGUUGAACUCUCCUGCUCCUUCCUCACAAAGGGUGCUCGGUAGAGACCGCGUUGGAGGCAGCAUCUCUGCAUCCCGCCCAGCUCCUGGGGAUUGAACACAAAAAAGGGACACUAAAUU
RNA transcript from Haliaeetus leucocephalus (bald eagle), 1436 nucleotides. It is a transcript of the gene named amidohydrolase domain containing 2, with no coding region annotated. The record is from RefSeq and is a predicted model, not a curated record. The transcript has 10 exons. Lineage: Eukaryota; Metazoa; Chordata; Aves; Accipitriformes; Accipitridae.